AUGAAUGGACCCUGGGUGGUCCUUGGUGAUUUUGAUGAAAUCUUAUACUCCCAUGAGAAAGAAGGAGGUGCUCCAAGACCAACCCAAAUGAUGCAAAACUUCAAAGAUGCGCUGGUGGAUUGCCAGCUAGAUGACAUGGGAUAUAAGGGCGAAAUGUUUACAUGGCGGUGGAGGAGACUGAGAGAAAGAUUGGACAGAGGUAUUUGUAAUGGAGCUUUCCAUGCACUAUUCCCAGAUGCAACUAUCACCAAUGUUGAACACUCAAAAUCAGACCAUCGUCCUUUGGUA
RNAcentral lists this ribosomal RNA (288 nucleotides) under Triticum aestivum (bread wheat). RNAcentral describes it as "partial small subunit ribosomal RNA". Lineage: Eukaryota; Viridiplantae; Streptophyta; Magnoliopsida; Poales; Poaceae. The record is from RNAcentral.